GUUCAUAUGUGUAUGUUUGUAUCCCUGUCUCAAUCAACAGACACAGGUUCAUAUGUGUAUGUUUGUAUCCCUGUCUCAAUCAACAGACACAGGUUCAUAUGUGUAUGUUUGUAUCCCUGUCUCAAUCAACAGACACAGGUUCAUAUGUGUAUGUUUGUAUCCCUGUCUCAAUCAACAGACACAGGUUCAUAUGUGUAUGUUUGUAUCCCUGUCUCAAUCAACAGACACAGGUUCAUAUGUGUAUGUUUGUAUCCCUGUCUCAAUCAACAGACACAGGUUCAUAUGUGUAUGUUUGUAUCCCUGUCUCAAUCAACAGACACAGGUUUCUGUUCUCCAAAAGCUCUAGCAGAAACACAGAGCAGAGGGCUGGAAAAAGACUCGUCAUUGUUAAUAUUGGAUGGGUUAUCCUUGGUACGGUUGUUUCCAUUGGCUGAAUAUACUGUGUCAUUGUUGGGAUUGGUUUAUCCAGCUGGACAAUAGUUGUUGCUAUUGGAUGAGCUCAUCUGAUCAACUUCCUGC
Molecule: long non-coding RNA, 519 nt
Organism: Oncorhynchus keta (chum salmon)
Lineage: Eukaryota; Metazoa; Chordata; Actinopteri; Salmoniformes; Salmonidae
Exons: 3
Source: RefSeq, a predicted model, not a curated record